This 1825-nucleotide long non-coding RNA is filed under the name Helianthus annuus (common sunflower). Lineage: Eukaryota; Viridiplantae; Streptophyta; Magnoliopsida; Asterales; Asteraceae. The record is from RNAcentral.
AUGUCACCCCAUCCUUUUCCCUGUCUUCCUUCCUAAUCUACCAUCACACAGAGAUUUACAUCGGAGAGAGAGAAAGAUCUGGAGAGAGGGGGAGGAUCGACGGCGUUGCUGCCGUGUAUCUCCGUCUUUGGCCGCCCUGACUGGCCACAUCCCCGCCUUUUCUCAGUUUACACCUCCCCUCCUCUCUCUCUCUCUCUCUCUCUCACACACACACACACACACAUAAAGGGUGACGCAAAUGACUUCCGCCCGGCCACCGUAGCUUAAUGACAACGCCAGUUAUUGUCGUGGGAAUCAGAAUGGGUUUCCGGUAACAUAUAGGAUGGUUGGUACGAUGAUGAUGUUUGCCUCUCUGGCUGGUGGCGAUUGUGAUUGCAGAACAUCAUCCACUUAAUCAGAGGUUUGCAAUGCUAAACCAUACAUCUGAAAUAUGGUCUGACGAUGGUGUUGAAAAAGGCCCUUUAGGGUUUAUGAUGAUAAGGCGUAAAUCAUUCAUUUUUGGGCAUACGAAUGUUGUAUUCUUUAUAUAUAAUAAUUUAUUAAUAAUUGAGGCGUAUGAACUGUGUUUGUAUUUGGUUUGGCUGUUAUCGGUUUAAAUGGACAGUUGUUACACGGAGGCUGUGAUGAGUAAUCAAAAUAAAGCCGGCGUGGCAGCUACGGAGGAUCUCAGGCUAUGAUGAUCAUGGUCAGAUCAUUACUUGGCGUAGGUUGGCAGGUGCAUUGUUCUCCGCUUGCAACUGAUGGUGCAGCCAUGGCAGCUUAAUAGCUUGGUCUGAGCCUCACCAUGCUGGUUUCGAGUAUGGGAACAAGCUAUCCAGGGAAAAUGUUGUUGAUCCUGUCCAACAGUCACUUGGACCUAGAGGUUGCAGUUACAUAUCAUUAAGGGGUUCAGUUUGGGUCAAAUCAGCUAUGGAACACACAAACCAUCGAGUUAACCGCUAUCCGAGGUCUUCACAGUUCCCUCAAACCUCAAAUGCAAUGUUGUAUCUGCAGAAUUCUGGACUCAGGAAUUGCUUCAGUUGUUUAUAUUACUGAUAAAGGAGAUGAAGAUCGACGCCGGACACAAACCACAGUCUCCCAGGGAUUUACACAUACACAAAGGAGACUGCACCAGUUUAUGUAUGCUGAUCGUGAUACGACACUAGAGAAUAUGAUCUGUUGGAGAACUCUAGAAAGAUUAAAUUGUCAGUAACCGUUGAGAAUUGCAGUGAGAAAGGGUAUACAGUUAUAAUGCAGUUUGUACACUUACUGCUAUGAAAUAUGUGGUAUAUCAUGCCACCGUUAUUGCUGCUGAAGGAGUUGAAGCUUAUCAGACUUUAACAGGUACCCACUUACUUAUGUUGAAGAGAUGUUUAGCAUGGUGGCGUCAUGGUUCUAAAGAUGUGAGAAAAUUAUGCUUUGGAAUGUUGUACGGAACUUUUUGGUUCAUUUCGAAAGCUCGCAACAAAUUGGUCUUCAAAAAGCUUCGCCCCUCUAUUAAAAAUACGGUGAAAAAAAUCAUAGCUCAUCUGUUUUCGUGGGUCAAAAAUAAGUCGAAACACCAUUCCUUAUCAUGGCAGAGCCGAAUGAUAUGUCCUGACUGCUGUUUAUUUGUAAGAGGGUAGGGUGAUUGGCUUUGGCUUUGCUAUAUGUUGCUUUUCUUAGUACUUUUUUCCAACCCAUAGCUGGUUGGUUGCUAAUAUAUUUUGUUUGUUGCUAGCCAAAACAAGUAGGAUGCUAUAUCUAACAUAUUUAUUUUUUACAUAUCUUUAGAGAGAAUGUAGCUCAAGUUUUUGUACUCUUAUUAUCCAUCUUUUGCACAAAAUGGAACAUAAAUAUAUAAAUG